RNAcentral lists this long non-coding RNA (446 nucleotides) under Musa acuminata (dwarf banana). RNAcentral's name for it is "long non-coding RNA (MACU_LNC000875)". The record is from RNAcentral. Lineage: Eukaryota; Viridiplantae; Streptophyta; Magnoliopsida; Zingiberales; Musaceae.
AGUGCAAAUAGAUUGCUCUGUUCACCACAAACUACAUAUUCCAACUUUAGCCUCUCAAGAGGAGCAACAAAGGUCCUGAUACACCACAAUAUCAAUAUAUGAGGAGUGCAAAUAGAUUGCUCUGUUCACCACAAACUACAUAUUCCAACUGUAGCCUCUCAAGAGGAGCAACAAAGGUCCUGAUACACCACAAUAUCAAUAUAUGAGAUGUCAUAAUGUCCCACUCUAACUAGUCCUCAUAAGUUAACUACUGUUUCUGAAGGGCAGCUCAAUAGGAGAGAGUAAAGUCAUGAACAAGGUCCAAAAAUUUGUAUAUGAGAAAAAGAAGAUAAAUGGUGAUACGGUGGGAUCUGAAUCACAAAAUUCUUAUACUAAACAACGUUAUAUAUAAGACAAGAAUUUGAAGUUUCAUCACGUACAGGAUCUGAAACUGACAAACCAAAAAA